AGAUGUUGGGCCCGCCCUCUUGGGUAGAUGGUGUUGCGGUCGUAGACUGUGCCCAGAGUUAUUCUAGCGGCAGCAUCUCCUUUGCCUCCGACUCUUUCUAAGGCUGCAGGCCUGAAAAACCCUGUCGCUCCUUCCGGAGGACACCGAGCGAGCGCCCUAAGGAGAGACUAAAGCCCUCUCUUCAAUCCCGUGCUGUCUUCUGCAGAGCGGGAAGCCGUGGCUCCUCCAUUCCUUUCUGGCUUCAGGCGUCGGUUUCCCCAAAUUGGUGGUAUUCCCAGGAAAUAAAGAGAAACUGCCAACGCUAGGCGCGGGAUGCUGCGCGAGAAACGAAAAAAUGAGUCGGUCUCUCAGGAGCUUCGGCCCAGGUAUGAAUAUGCAGCACCGCAUUAUACCCUGGGCAGAUGAUGGACUUGUGCUCUAUAAUCACUAUCUGUCAAAAUAAAAACAAAAGAAAAGCCUCAGAACUAUCUUCAAUGCUCUAAAGUAUACUGUAGCUGUCUUCAGACAAUCCAGAAGAGCUCGUUACAGAUGACUGUGAGCCAUCAUGUGGUUGCUGAGGUUUGAACUCAGGACGACCUUCAGGAGCAGCCGGUGCUCUUAACCGCUGAAUCAUCUCUCCAGCCCCUACCUGGUAAAUUUUUACAGCAUCUUGGAACUGUGAGAUACUAUAGUUGUAAUGUACAAAUGAGUCCCUCUGAUACAGGUCAUGUGGCAUGUCACAAAUACUCAGGACAAAGGCACUGAAAUUAAGUUUUAACAACCAUGAAGAUGAUCUUUACCUGAGCAUCAAAUGUGCGUCCAGAAUGACAAAGAUUAUUAAGAUCACAAAGGAUGAAUCCUGGAAGAAUCUCUUCCUCUUCAAUUCCUUUCAGUCUGAUUUUGAGGUUUUCACCUGGAGCUACAGAGUCCGUUUCUACAUCAUCAGAAAGUAUUCCAAGAACUUCCACGUUGUGCUUAAAAAGAAACCAAAGUUGGAAGUUUUCUGACACAUGCACAUUUUAUAAGAUAUAAAAUUACCUUGAUGCUUAUUAAGAAGCUACAAAUCUAAAAGUCAAAAUAAAGAUAAAAUAUUUUAGCCAGAAAUAAACUUUUGAGGAAAAGAAAGGGGGUCAAUCUUGGCUUGUCAGACAAGCACUCUGCCGCCUGCUGCGGUUGCAGAUGUCACAAUUUGUUGUUUUUAAACAACACAUUCUAACAACUUCUAAGUAGAAUACAGAACAAACUUCAUUUUCAGAAUGAAACCAUUGUAAUGAUUAGUACUGUCAACCUGACAAGAUCUAGAAUCACUAAGAGGUAAAUGCCCAGGUGCACCUGUGAGGGUCAGUCCCUGGGCACGCUUGCACACAAUUCCCUUAAGCUAACUGAUGUGGGAAGAAUCCGCUUUACUGUGGCCGAGGUCAUUCUGAGCUGGGAGAAAGUGAGCGGAGCGCUAGUGUUUAUCCUCCUCUGUUCACAAAUGCAUUGUGAUAGAUCAGUGCCUUCGAACUUCUGUGGCUUUGACUUUCCUGCCUUGAUGGACUGUACCCUUUAACUAAGAAGAGCUGAAAUAAAGCCUUGGUCCUUUGAGUUGCUUCGCUCAGCUCCCCAAAACUAUUGAUUUUAAGCAUGAGUGUUUUACCCACAUGUGUGCCUGGUGCCUGAAAGGUCAGAAGUGGUAACAUCAGAUGCCCUGGAACUGGAGAGAUGUUUCACUGGGAGCCACUGUGUCACUGUUGGGAAAUGAACCCAGGUCGUCAGCAAGAGCAAGAAAGAGCUCCUUAACCACUAAACCAUCUCUCCAGCCUCAUUGCUUUGGUUUUAGAAAAUUACUUUCAUUUAUAUAUAGGUGUGUGCUCAUCUCUGUGUGAAGAGUGCCGUGUAUUGCAUGAAUCAAGUUCCCUUUAAGAGCUGAGUCACCUCUCCAGCCUCUUCCUUGAGUUGUUUCUCUCAGAGUAUUUUAUCAACCACAGGAAACUAAGACAAACAUCAAAUUUAAUAACUGGAUUUUUAACUCUCUUAAAUUUAAAUUUCAGAAUUCAAGAAUUUUUCCCCCACAGCAGGUCAAUCCUCAAUUAAGGAGGUAUUUACCUAGAAAGCAUUAAAAACAUCAAUUUGUUUCUUGGUAUAAUUUUAUAAUACAUCAAAUAAAAAUCAUCAAAUCUAGCUUUAAACCCAUU
RNAcentral lists this long non-coding RNA (2156 nucleotides) under Mus musculus (house mouse). Its description in RNAcentral is "RIKEN cDNA 2610020C07 gene (2610020C07Rik)". The record is from RNAcentral. Lineage: Eukaryota; Metazoa; Chordata; Mammalia; Rodentia; Muridae.